Molecule: ribosomal RNA, 253 nt
Filed under: uncultured bacterium
Lineage: Bacteria
Description: partial 16S ribosomal RNA
Rfam family: Bacterial small subunit ribosomal RNA
Source: RNAcentral
UACGUAGGGUGCGAGCGUUAAUCGGAAUUACUGGGCGUAAAGCGUGCGCAGACGGUGGCUCAAGCCAGGCGUGAAAUCCCCGGGCUUAACCUGGGAAUGGCGUUUGGGACUGGGUCGCUAGAGUGUGGCAGAGGGAGGUGGAAUUCCACGUGUAGCAGUGAAAUGCGUAGAGAUCGGGAGGAACAUCAGUUGCGAAGGCGGCUCUCUGGACCAGCACUGACACUGAGGCACGAAAGCGUGGGGAGCAAACAGG